AGUUAUGCUACGGACCAUUUAAAAUUAAUUACGAUUUUCGAUUCAUUCAAUUAUAUUUCAUUAAAAAUACCCCUCUAGAAAAUUCUUUGGAGACGCCUAUUUAAUCGCCUAGGUGCCUAUUUUCGCAGCGAAGCAAGAGGAAAGCACCGCGCAUGUUUCUAUCGGAUCGAUACGAAUCGAUUUCCGAUAACAUUGAACAGCAGUUGGUCAGGAAACGGCUCGAAGGGCGGAUGGCGCGCCGCUAGUAAGGUUAUUCCCCCUUUUAAGUGACGGGAUUGAAACAAAUUUUCGAUGGAAAUCAAAUAAUUAGAAGGAAAUCAAGCGUUAGCUAAUCCCAUCUACAAAACUAGAUAACCAAAGUUAAACAUCUCUUUGGACUUCUUCACAUAACAGAAGUGGAUAUUCCGGCGUGCCUGCCUUGUUUCAAUCCCGUAACUUAGUUAUUUAGUCACACAACGUGACUCUAUCACGUUGAUUAUGUACUACCUAGUUAGAUUGCUAGCCACUCUGUGAUGGUUUAUCCCUAGAGUGGGCUGUUUUUGUUGGAUAAUACACCAUACCGGAUUUUAUUACAACCAGCAUCUUCACCCAGGACCUUGCAGUAGGACUUACUCACCACAGCAGCCAACCGUUUUAUCGUGCCAAAAGGGAAUUUCCUACGGAAUUCAUCUCUAUGGACUUGCAACCCUACUUUUAACCGGCUGUUGUGUAAAAGCUAAGUUUAUUUAUUUUUUCUGUAUUUACUUUUGGGUAAGAUAUAUUUGCUACAUUGUAAACUUUUCGUAUGCAUACGAUUAGGAAGAGUACAUAUAUUUUCGUGAUAGAUAGGGUUUUAGGUUGUUGUUUUUUUUUCUUUUUGAUUCAGUAUAAGUAGGAGUUAAUUAAAAUAAAUAAAAUCAGGUCUUGUUUAAUAAUCAUAAAUAAUUGUAUCUUAAAAUUAGAUAGGGAAUCGGGUUGUAAAAUUUUGUCGUGGAGUUUAAAAUAGGGAAUACGUCUAGUAGGUUUUUUUUUGUAAAAUAUAUAAAGAGUCACUGACCAACUCAUUUAUAUAGACCUUUUUGCUAUUCUGACGGACUUUUGAUUUGGAUUUUGAUUUUAAUACUUUUUCUUGGCCAGUGAUAGUGGAUAAUUGCUUGUUGAGUGACCUUUGCGGUCCUAUUUUAUCUUUUCCCCAUCCACUAUCACUGUUAUUACGUUGCGUUAUAUGUAAAGUGUUAACAUUUAAUAUUUAUUAUUAAUAUAUUUGUAUGUAUUAA
Molecule: long non-coding RNA, 1256 nt
Filed under: Diabrotica virgifera virgifera (western corn rootworm)
Lineage: Eukaryota; Metazoa; Arthropoda; Insecta; Coleoptera; Chrysomelidae
Description: uncharacterized LOC126879607
Source: RNAcentral